CUAGCAUAUCAAUAAGCGGAGGAAAAGAAACCAACAGGGAUUGCCCUAGUAACGGCGAGUGAAGCGGCAACAGCUCAAAUUUGAAAUCUGGCGCAAGCCCGAGUUGUAAUUUGUAGAGGAUGCUUCUGGGCAGCGGCCGGUCUAAGUUCCUUGGAACAGGACGUCAUAGAGGGUGAGAAUCCCGUAUGCGACCGGCUCGCACCCGUCACGUAGCUCCUUCGACGAGUCGAGUUGUUUGGGAAUGCAGCUCUAAAUGGGAGGUAAAUGUCUUCUAAAGCUAAAUACCGGCCAGAGACCGAUAGCGCACAAGUAGAGUGAUCGAAAGAUGAAAAGCACUUUGGAAAGAGAGUUAAAAAGCACGUGAAAUUGUUGAAAGGGAAGGGCAUGCAACCAGACUUGUCGGCGGUGUUCCGCCGGUCUUCUGACCGGUUCACUCGCCGCCGACAGGCCAGCAUCAUCUGGGAGCGCCGGAUAAAGGCGUGGGGAAUGUAGCUCCUCGGAGUGUUAUAGCCCCGCGCACAAUACGGCGCCUCCCGGGUGAGGUCCGCGCUUCGGCUAGGAUGCUGGCGUAAUGGUUGCCUGCCGCCCGUCUUGAAACACGGACCAAGGAGUCUAACAUCUAUGCGAGUGUUCGGGUGUCAAACCCCUACGCGUAAUGAAAGUGAACGGAGGUGGGAACCCUUACGGGUGCACCAUCGACCGAUCCUGAUGUCUUCGGAUGGAUUUGAGUAAGAGCAUAGCUGUUGGGACCCGAAAGAUGGUGAACUAUGCCUGAAUAGGGUGAAGCCAGAGGAAACUCUGGUGGAGGCUCGCAGCGGUUCUGACGUGCAAAUCGAUCGUCAAAUUUGGGUAUAGGGGCGAAAGACUAAUCGAACCAUCUAGUAGCUGGUUCCUGCCGA
RNAcentral lists this ribosomal RNA (899 nucleotides) under Pseudotaeniolina globosa. Its description in RNAcentral is "LSU rRNA". It matches the Rfam family "Eukaryotic large subunit ribosomal RNA", at positions 34 to 964 of the family's 3401-position model. Lineage: Eukaryota; Fungi; Ascomycota; Dothideomycetes; Capnodiales. The record is from RNAcentral.